This is an RNA transcript of Perca flavescens (yellow perch), 4136 nucleotides long. RefSeq lists it as uncharacterized. The record is from RefSeq and is a predicted model, not a curated record. NCBI's taxonomy places the organism in Eukaryota, Metazoa, Chordata, Actinopteri, Perciformes, Percidae. The transcript has 8 exons.
ACACCGAACAGAUUUGAGUCACUGACCUCACCAGACUGUCCCACGGCCGAUAAUCGGCCUGAUGUGUUCCGGCCCUAGUCUUUGAAAAAGCAUCAUGAGGCGAAAGAGCGAAGAUACUGUUUUAAAAAAUUUGGGAAGAGUCGUAAAAUUACGCUCACUUUGCAAGACAUACAGAACGUUAUACACGGCUGUGCUACGGAAGAAAGUGCGUAUCUGGGCAACAAUUUUUACAGGUUCCAAAUUCACUAUCAAACAGGAUACGACUAAGAAACAUUUUUUUUGCACACUUGAAGUGUUCUCCUCUGGGAAGUCCUGAUGCUGCACCUGACACCGACAUUGAGUAUGAGGACAAGGAUCUGGAGGAGGUUAAGUCUUCUUCAUCCAAGCUCACUGAGAGACAGGAUUCUACCCAAGCAUCAGAAACAUCUUCCGAAAAUAGUGGUCCAGAUAGCCUCUUUUUUCGGCAUAAGCUGCCGACAGGCCCAUGUUUUUUUUUAAGGACACUAAGGAGUGGAGCGACCUGAUAAAACGACAGGUUGGGCACCAGUUUAAAGAUCUGCACUGGACAAAUAUAAUCUCAAAAGGAAUACAAUCUGUACAUCCAUACUGCAGCAUUGCUUUUAAAAGGCACACCGUGAAAAAUAAAAUGUCCAAAAGAAAAGGACCUUUAUUUAGUUGCCUGGGAUACUGCACAUUUUCAGAUUGCCCAGUUUGUGUAGAGGUCACUGUGAGGGAUGAGAGUACCCUGAAGGCCUGGGUGACCUUUCAGGGAGAGGAGGUCUGUCACAGUAUGGAAGAAUUAAAAAGAAGAUAUGUACGAGCUGAUAACAAAGACAUUUUUGGAAAGCAACUUGAAUCAGUGCUUCCAAGGGCCUUACAUUUGCAGUGUAUGGACAAAAUCCAACCUAAAGUCUUUGAAUCAGGAUGCAGAGACCAGGCACCUACAGCUGCAGUCCUCAAAAACAUAGCCUACAUGACACGAAGGAAAUGCAGAAGGCAUGACAACAAAAUACUAAGUCUUCUCAAAAUGGUGAAGGAAAAAACAGAUGAAGACAAUGAAGUUCUCCAAAAGGUGCUCUUGCACCCCAAAGGAGUCAUGCUGUGGUCCAAAAACACAAUCAGACUGUUCCACCAACGAGGCAGGGAUGAUAUUGUGUAUAUUGACGCCACAGGAAGCACCUUUUUAUGUGUAUGAGUUGGUGGUGAGGCAUCCUAUUAAAGGAUCCUCCCCUAUCCCUGUUGCAACGUAUGUCACCUGCCAACACACCACUGUAUCAGUGUUAUUUUUUAUGGAGUCUUUUCAAACAGAUUACUACAAGUUGUUUGGAAGGAAAUCUGUGAGGAGACCUGUGAUGAUAAUCUGUGAUGGGUCCCUUGUUCUGAUGCAAGCUGUUGCCUACACUUUUUGUAAACAUUCUUUGGAGAGCUUGCUCAGCGUCUACUAUGACAUUGUCGCUGGACAGUUGAAAGAGGUCAUGAAUAUGCCAAUUCUUCAUCGGUGCCUAAGCCACAUCAUGAAGAAUGCCAAAGUGUUCUGCCGGAAACAUUCCCCCAAACACUAAAGACUGUCCAUGCAUCUUUUUGGCCUCCUGACAAGUGCUGCCACACUGAUGGAAAUGGAUGACAUUAUUACAAGCAUGGCAGUCCUGUUCUCAAGUCCUCGGAGUGGUGACAACGUGGAAAAACACUUCCAAAACCUUCAGAACAGGUUGCAAACAAUUGGCUUUUCUGAAAGCAGUGACCAUGCAGAAAAUGCUGAAAAUGACUUUGAGGUUUGUCUGAUUUGUGCAUUAUUAUUCACCUACAUUCAUGCCUAACCUGGUGAAAUAUUUCCUACCUCUGGCAGUUUUGUGGUCUGGUCUCAUGCUGGGUAAGUGACAACUUAUUUUUGAGGAUUGCUUGGGGUGAGGUUGUGGGAUUUGAACAAAGGCAAAUAUUUGACAAUGUUACAGCCAUAAUGUUUAAAAACAAAAACAAAUCAACUUAAUUCAACAUUUAAUUACCUGAUUGUAGUGAAAUAAAACAUGAUAUGGCAUAUUUGAUCCAUUCAUUUGUGUUCACUGCGGUAAAUAAUAUGUUGUGGGUAAUCAUCAUUUUAAGGUCUAAAUUAUUUACUUUAAUAUAGGUGAUCUUGGCCGCCAUGGAAAAGGACCAGCCUACAAUCAUUUUUCCAAGAUUUUAAUGCGAUGCAGUCAGUCAGGCACACAGAACUACACUGAGGACAACAAGACUCAGGCUAUAAUGGAGAAAAGCCAAUGGGAUCUGAAAAAAAUUAGAUUCCAGAGACGUCGUCUCACAAGGCUUGACGACUUUGUACAGAUUUAUCAGCAGACACAUAAUGCUCUCUUGAUGGAGUUCUCUGACUCAGCACGCAAGAGAAAAGUUUUUCAAAGCCACAAAUGUAAUUUUAGUUUAUGUGAUGUGAGAAAUAUAUCUUCCUGUAUGUGAUGUGAAUGGUUUAGGCUCCAGUCAAAGGACGCAAACCAGGUUUGGAGAGACCACAGACAGUGACUGACACCAGCUCGACAGGACCCAAGUCGGAUAAGGAACCUUUAAGGAGCACUGACAUCCCAAAAAAACCUGGGAGUACAACAACAUCUGUAAAUAAAAACUAUGGACCAUGCUGGCAAGGAGCAGACCCCUCAGAAAAGAAAUCUGCAGCAAGACUACAAAGGCCUCCACAGGUCCCAAAACAUAGCAAAAUGACUGCUGUUCUUCAUCCGUACCACUGGCUUAGCUGUGAUGAGAUAGAUUUUGCAUCAUACUUGCUUGCAAGCGAGUACCCUCACAUUCAUGGCUUUCACUCAAGUGUUUUAUUUAGUGUUUUACAUAAGGGAGGGAUUUUGGGUAUUCCAAGCAGCCCAUUUGUGCAAAUUUUACACACUGGGGACAACCACUGGGUAACUGCUAGCAACAUGUUUUGUUGGAACAAUCAGGUUUGCAUUUAUGACAGUCUUUCGACAGUGCUAUACAACAAAGACAAACAAGUUUUGUCAUGGUUAAUAAGGCCAAAGGAAGACAAAUUUACAGUUAUUUACCCUGCUGUCCAACAUCAGUCGAAUUUGUCAGGGCCCCUCCUCCCUGAGCUGUCUCCCCUUCCCGUUUGUGUGUCUCCCUUACCUCUGCCCCUUUUUGUGUCUGUGUUGUUUGUCUCCGUCCGUCUCUUUUUGUUCCUCAGUUUCCUGAGUUCCCACUACCACUGAAGGCACCCCGGCACCAAGGCUGCUGCAAUCGCUACAAUCUACUACACCUGCCCCAGUCCACCUGGGGCUGAUUGCCACUCUCCCUAUAUCAGGGAGAGGUCUGCUUUCAGUCCCCGUCUGAUAAUUGUUUCAGCCACGUAUUUAUCUCUUGCGUUUCUGUGCAUUAUUCAGCUAUCUCCAGUUCUAGUUAUUAUCCUGAGUUUCCCGUAGUUUAGCCUUUUUUUUUCCUCAUUGUGUUUUUGUGUUCUGCCUCCUAGACGCUGUUCUCCCUCCACCGCCGGCUACUGCCUUUUUCCCUCCUCAACUGGAUCUUCUGUUUGGACUCCUCGUGCCGACCUCUGCCUUGAUCUCCGUGUCUCUGGACCCCCAGCCUGUUGCCGACUAUUCUCGCCUGCCGUUUGUACUUCUGCUGAGCCACAACCUACCCAUACUCACUCCCAUAACCUCCACGACGGAACACCAUCUACAUUAUUCAUUUUCUAAUAAACAGUAGUAUUAUGGAACUCGCCCUGUGUUCUGCUUUUGUGUCCUACCCCGUCCAGAGCGUGGCAGAAUUGUAGUAACUGUGGUUUGUUUGCAAUUACUUUUGCAUUUGCAUUGUGCUGCAACCUGAGGCCAGAAAACUGCAAGUUCCCGUGAGGGCCGGUUGAGGACUGAACUUUUAACUUCCUUCAAGAAAGGACAAAUCCAUUUUAAAACAGAGCCAAGAGUUGGUGCUCCAAAGUCAGGACAAACGCAUGUGAAUGUGUACUGCAUAUGCAGGACUGCACACUGCAGUGAAGUAAUGGUAGAAUGUUCUUUGUACAAGGGGUGGUAUCAUCCUAACUGUGUGAACAUACCACAAAGUGCCAUUAGUGGGGAUGAUCACUGGAAUUGCCACAACUGUACUGGCUAAAUGUAAAAAAGAAAUGACAUUUUCUUGAAUUCAAUUUA